Molecule: long non-coding RNA, 811 nt
Filed under: Rhinopithecus roxellana (golden snub-nosed monkey)
Lineage: Eukaryota; Metazoa; Chordata; Mammalia; Primates; Cercopithecidae
Description: lncRNA (ENSRROG00000045857.1)
Source: RNAcentral
GUUUGGAGGCAUAAUCCACCUCUGGGAGGAGAAGGAGGGCAGCACUGUUACCAUCUCCGUACUUCAGUGGACACAAGAAUGUUGAUGCUCAAAGAGCAGGAACCCCAGAACCCCAGGCAGGUAAGGAAGAAGAGCACAGCCAGGAUCAGAAGAGUGAAGAAACAAUGAUGUCCCACAGCUCUUCCCAACUCUGGCAGUGGCUAUGGCCUAACAGCUGGUGGCAGGAACAGGGCUGUGACAAGAAUCAGCAACUGCAUGGGGCCUCAUCAAUUUCCAGAAGAGGACAGGACAUGCUCAAGCUGCCCCAAAGAGAAAGGACAAAGGAGAGGAAUUCUGAGAUGCAAGUCCCUAUGGAAGAGGGGACAGAGUUAAAUUCCAACAGUCCAACAGACUACGGCUAGAGCCACAGUCUUCUCUUACCUGUACCUUUAACGCUCAGCUUGCUAUUUGUUCCUUAGUAUCUGCUGUUAGUGAGGUUCCUUUCAAAAACAAGAAAACAAAACAGUCUUUUCCUGCUGAAGUUUUUGACUUACUUCUUUCUCUCCUUUGCACCAUCAAGUAUUUGAGCAGUGGACACCCUUGCCUCCAUUUCCUCACCCACUAUGCCCUCCUCUCCUGCUGCAAACUGGCUUCCCCCCAUCACUCUUCUGAAAUUCUGCUCCCCAAACAUACUCAUUCCAGUGAAAUUGUCUUCCCCAGAAUUACUUUGGUGUCUGAAAGGACUGGGUGAAGGGGUAAAAAACUAUUAAGAUUGGCUGGGUGCAGUGGUUCACACCUGUAAUCCCAGCAGUUUGGGAGGCCGAGACAGGUG